UACGUAGGGGGCAAGCGUUGUCCGGAUUUAUUGGGCGUAAAGAGCGUGUAGGCGGCUAGGUAGGUCCGUUGUGAAAACUCGAGGCUCAACCUCGAGACGCCGGUGGAAACCAUCUAGCUAGAGUCCGGAAGAGGAGAGUGGAAUUCCUGGUGUAGCGGUGAAAUGCGCAGAUAUCAGGAGGAACACCGGUGGCGAAGGCGGGUCUCUGGGCCGAUACUGACGCUGAGGCGCGAAAGCGUGGGGAGCAAACAGG
This 253-nucleotide ribosomal RNA is filed under the name uncultured bacterium. RNAcentral's name for it is "partial 16S ribosomal RNA". It matches the Rfam family "Bacterial small subunit ribosomal RNA", at positions 524 to 776 of the family's 1533-position model. The record is from RNAcentral.